Molecule: non-coding RNA, 5991 nt
Organism: Malus domestica (apple)
Lineage: Eukaryota; Viridiplantae; Streptophyta; Magnoliopsida; Rosales; Rosaceae
Source: RefSeq, a predicted model, not a curated record
UAUCACUAAUUAGCUAAUCACCUAACCCUAAUUAUACAGUUUAUGUCGUUCUUCUCUUUGGUUUUUGGGGCACCGAAAUGCCGCUUAUGCCCAUUGCUUCCACGCGUCUGUCAUCGAUGGAAUCCUCCAUUUGGACUGUGUGUUCUCGAUUUUUCUUUUGCUUUCCGUUGCUUUGGCUGAAAAAUCUGGGAUGUUCCACCUGCUCCCUUGCUCUUCUUUUCCUCUUCUGUACUCUUCUUUCCUAUCGACUUCUCUGUGUCACUAUCUCGCAACCAACUACAACACCGAUUCACCCUCCAUUUCUCCCGCUUAGCAAAAGAAAAUCAAAGGGGUUCACCUCGUGGGUUCCGUAAGAUGCUGGAAGCAUCUUUCGUUUCUCUCUUUCUUCUUCUUUUCUUCCACCUCUUCCUUCGCCGAAGCAACUAAAAAUCAAAAACCUACUCGCGGCUUCUUCCUCCCGAUUUCGGAGCUUCUCUCUCCUCCAUUGAAGCACCUCCAUACACAGAUAUCGUUUCUCCCGUAAUUAUAUAUUUAAUUAUUUGAAAGUUAGUUCUUCUGUGUAAAAUUCUUGAGUUUUUGAUUACCUGCAAUUUUCAAUUUUCUACGAUAUAGGAUUUUUGAAUAAUUUCAUGAUAUAGCGAUCUUACUAAUGAUAUAUCAAGUAGAAUCAAUAUGAGGAAUAGAUUCUUCAAUUUCGUAGCUUCCAAGCCUAGACAAGAGAUCAUAUACGCGGCUUUUGCGUUUGUUUAUGUCUGAUUUGCACCGAUUUUGGUCGGAUCUAUUUCUGAUUUUGUUUUCUGUUUGAGCACCGGUUGUUUUUGCAUCGCUGGGAAGUUAAUUUUCUACAACUGAGGUAUGUUUUCUAACUGCUGUGUUUUGAUUAAUUUUGGAUGGAAUUGUAACCGUUUGGUUUUGGGUUGGCUUUGUUCCUGUGCUAGAGUUUUCCUGGCUAAGAGGAUAUUUUGUGGUUUGGUUCCUUGCUUGGUCAGUCUCAGGUUUACGGUACCGACGGUUCCGACGGUCCUGUUAUUUUUUGGAAAAUCAGGAAUUUGAACAUCAGCUUGCGACUUCGCUGUCGAUUUGAACGCCACCAGCUUCGAUGCAGUCCUUGGAGACACCCCUGCCUCUUUGCCAUAGUCAAAUUCUUCGCUCACUGGUGCAAAACACCAUAGAGUAUUUAAACAUCAUCGGGGCCUUGGAUGAGAAUGAGAAUCUGACUGUUUUAGAUAUUUCAGAAUUUUAGAAAGCAGGUGCGGUUUGAUCAAUUAAGGCCAACCUGAUUUACAGAGGUUUGAUUAAAGGUACAGGCUUAUUCAGUUUGAUGAAUGGCAAGGCUUAUCGAGAGCAAGCAAGCUAUGGUUAUGUGAGUGGUUCUUUUGUUUUUAUGUGUGUGUGUGUGUAUAUAUAUGUGAUUUUUCCAACAAUUGGUAUUAUAUAUUAUAAUGUGACAUGUUAUGUUUAGCUUUACAAAUAUACUUUUCGUAUACUUUAUGUUUUUAAUAUUAUUUGUAAGCAUAAACUUGUGACAUGACAUCCUUGCGUUUUACCUGGUCAUUAUUACAUAUUUGCACGGUGUCUCUUAGUUAUUUGUAUUGUCCUGGGCUAUGAACUAGCUUCACAUGCAUCGUUUACAUUCACUUUAGAUCAGGAGUUAGGUGUCAGCCUGUUCUUUUGUAUAAUGUUUUGGACUUGUAUGUGAUGCGACUAGCGCAGCAUAUGUGAUGUAGUACUAGAAUGUAAAACAUACACCCAGUCUGUUCCAUUGUUUGAAUAUCUCUGCAGUGGACUUGUGUGCCUACAUAAAUUAAUGAGCAUUGAUUUCUUAUAAUAAUGGUUUGAGAUUUAAUGUUAAUGAGCUAUUAAACCUAUUGACUAUACAAAUAUCUUAUUUGCGUGGAUCACAUUGUGCCAUCUCGUUCUGGACUUGGUGGAUUGUUCAUCACGUAGAAUUCUGUCUCCUUUUAGUUUCUCUCUCCUUACAUGUCUUUCUAUUUGGACGUUUAUGGUUAAUGUUAAUUUUUAAAUAGCUAGAAGAAGAUAAAAAACAAUUUGUGAGAGGAGAUGAGAGAAGAGGAUCGAAAUAAGAGGAGAGAAUUGAGAUUCUUUACUUCUAUUCAACAACGUACGAAAAUUAUCUUGAUUUUGGUCAUGACUAAAUGGUCGUUGAAUCUUGCUUCGGAAUAAAUAGAAUCAAAUGACCCAUGUUUAAAGUUUAAACCUUCCUCUGGAAGGUUGGAAGUCUACAAAAAGGCUAAGGCUUUACUUUUCCAUUCUACCGUUCCACGUAGCGCGCUCUCUCUCCACAUCUGGUAAGAUCCUAUUUUCUCCUUUGAUGCGAUCUAUAUUUGUAGUUAUAUUUUUAUUUUGUUAAUUUAUUUUCUUUCUUUUGUGUUUUAUAUGUCUUUUUUAUCAUGACAACAACACAAGUUUUCUAGUAAGAUUUUUGGAGUGGAAGGGGUAAAAAAGACAGCAUUGACACCACUUUUCACUAGUAAGUAAAUGAACCAAGUGAUUAUUUAUUUAUUACUGAAAUUGGCGUUAAUGCUGUCUUUUUCUACCACUUCCACCCCAAAAAUCUUACUAGAAAACUUGUGCGGUUGUCAUGAUUAAAAAGACAUAUAAAACACAAAAGAAAGAAAAAAAAAGUUAACAAAAUAAAAAUAUAACUACAAAUCUAGAUCACAUCAAAUGAGAAAGUAGGAUCUUACUAGAGGUGGAGAGAGAGCGCACUCCGUGGAACGGUGGAAGGGAAAAGUAAAGCCUUGGCACUUUUGUAGACUUCAAACCUUCCGAAUGAAGGUUUAAACUUUAAACAUGGGCCAUUUGAUUCUAUUUAUUCCAAGGCAAGUAUUCAACAACCAUUUAGCCAUAGCCAAAAUCAAGAAACUUUUCGUUGAAUAGAAGUAAAGAAUCCCAAUUCGCUUAUCUUAUUUCCAUCCUCUUCUCUCUUCCUCUUACAAAUUGUUUUUUAUCUUGUUGUGGCUAUUAAAAAAUUAACACAAAACGUUAACGUGAUCUAACCGUAACUGGUCAAAUAGAAGGAGAGGGAAUGGAAGAAAAACUAAGAGGGGAGAGAAUUCUACAUGACGGACAAUCCACCAAGUCCAGAAUGAGGUGGCACAAUGUGAUCCACACAAAUAAGAUAUUUGCGUGGUCAAUAAGUUUAAUAGGUCCGCAAACCUACGAGAGCUUGAAAUGUUGUGUAUAUAUGUUUUUCUUCCCCAAAUUGAGUUGCUAACCAUGUAUAAUUGGAUUGGUUGGUCAUAGAUCACCUAGAUUACAUAUAAUAUAUAUCGUUAUUUUGCAUAUGUUCUGAGCUCAAAGUUGGGAUUUUUGGUGUUAAAAAAAAUCCGAUCUUAGUUAAAAGUUAAAACGCACAUUAUAACGCAUGAGUAUUGUUAUAGUCAGGAGAAUUCAACCUCUUAACCAAGUCAUUUGCAUCAUAUAUCUAGAAGGUACAAACAGAGAAGAUAGAACUCCAAGAAUUUCUAACAAUUUUUGUUUAGAAUCAAUUAGGGUACGUACCUACCCCUAUGUGUAACUUUCCCAAAUGGAAUGCGGUUUAAUUAAGUACAAGAAAGUGAAACGUGUCAUUUAGAGAAGAAGAUUGUAGCACUGCUGCCUUUGUUUGGUUGAACUUGUUGAGCAAUAUUUAUGCCAAACCCACUGAUAUUUAGUAUUGCCCUCGUUUAUGUCACUUUGUAUUUGUACUUUGAUCGAUCAGUCUUCAUUUAACUUCAAACUUUUCAAAUUUAAGAUUGUUAGAACAUCUUGUAAGUUGUAACCUUGUUUUUGUUUUGUUUUUUUCAUUUUUUUUUAAAUAUUCGUUUGGGCAUCCACGUGAUGUUGAACCUUUAACCCAUUGUGUUUAUAUCCGGUUUUAGCGGAAACUACUUGAGUUUAUUGGCUAAAGUUUGUUAAUGGUGCGCUACUUCAACUUUUUUUAUUUUAUUUUAUUUUAUUUUUAUUUUAUUUUAAUUAAGUUUGUUUUUCCAAUAAACAAUAUAUUUAUAUUAAGAGGUAGAGGAUUUGGAUCAAGCCACACAAUAAAACAACCAUAAGAAAUUGAUUACGAUUCACAAUCCAUCGGACCCGAAAGUAAGACCUUCCCCUUGUAAGUGAAAGAGAAAAACCACUUAACUGGGUCCAUAGUACCAUGCGGAAAAUUAAAAUAAGAGAUUCAAAAUUAGAAAAUGUUAAAGGACGGAGUUUUUAUUUUGGAAAAUGCUAGGCAGACAUCAUUAAUUUUAACCGGAUUGGCAUACCAUUUUAUGUGGUAAGUGAUAUUAAAGAACAUAGUAUGUCAAUUAAUGAGCUUAUCUUAUUAGAUAUUGGUUAUAUGCAUCCUUUGUUAUUUCUUGUAAUACACAAAUAUGCAUCCAAAAAUGUGAUCCCAUACAUUACGGCGCUUUCAUUUUUUUUUUGUUCACAUAAGAGGACGUGUAAUAGUGUGAGCAAUGGUUUUUUUUUUUUUUUUUUUUUUUUUUUAAAUUUCCUGUCGCUGGUUGCUCGUUGAUUCAAUUUAGUUCGUUGAUGCAGUUUAGUUUUUAAUUGAACUUGAUUCAAGACCACUGUUAACGUUAUAAUAUGUCAGCUCAUUCUUUAUUGGAUGAGUUAUCCACAAUCACCUGGUAAACCUUUCAAAGAAAGGUUGUGUUGGAAUGCAUGCAAGUAGGGCUGGGCAAACGGGUACAGGACCCGCGGGUAGGGGCGGGUAUUGUCGAUUCGGGGCGGGUUCGGGGCGGGGCCAAAUUUGGUAGAGACAAAACGGAACGGGGCGGGGCGGGGAGAGGGUAUCUUCAGGGGCGGGGCGGUUCCAGAAUUUGAGAAUGUCGGGGCCCCGAACCGACCCGUUCUACCAUAACAAAGCAAUUGCUUUACUUUUUCAGUCAUCUUCUUCCCCCACUCCCAGAUUCCCCCCACUUUUUUCUCUGUUCUUGUUCUCUUCUCCCUCCCACCCCUCGACUGCGUCAAGAUCACAGAAGAUGUUGCAUCUUCCUCCACUCUCUAAAGCCAAGCCAUGGCCGCAAUCCACUGCUCCUCCACUCUCCACUCUCUUAAACCGCCGUCGCCGCUUCCUCCUCAGCUCUCCAGCCUCAGACCCUCUCUCCUCUCCGCCAGCAAACACCCAAACAGUAAGAAGAACAAAAAGCUCACCGGAUACAGACCCUGCAGAGCGGAGUUCUCAAACGACGCGCCGUUCGUCGCCGCCAUUGGCGCCUACAUGCUCUCGUCGCUGGUGCUUCCCGCCAGCAUUCCCGAUGACGAUGCCGAAGGCGGUUCGGCAACGGAUUCCACCGAUGCCAGGUUCGCCGUCAUGGGCGUCAUCAGCUUCAUUCCCUACUUCAAUUGGCUGGUAAAACAAACAAACAAAAAACCCAUUUUUCUUUCAAAUUCUUGAACUUUUUGAUUAUUUAUAUGAAUUUGUUUGUUGGGUUGGACUGAAUAAUUGUAGACUACCCAUGCUUAAACGUCUUGAACGUCAUGGGCGUCAUUCACCUACUACUACUAUCUCUGUCCACACCCAUUUCUUCAAUCCCAACGAAGAACUCAUCCUCGGAGAAGAUCUUAAGCCCAUUUUUUCAAUAAUUCAUAGAUUACCCAUGCUUAAUUUGGUUGAAUGAUGUGUUUGGAAUCUAUGUGUUGUUGAUUUAUCUGAUACUUUGGAUCUUGAUCUACGCGUUGCGUUGGUAUGGUUUUCUUUUAUUUGCUGAGGAACACAACCUUCAGGCUUCAAUUCGUUCCUUUCUGUGCUAAGACCCGUGGACCCGGCCCGAAUCGACCCGUUUCAAACGGGUCGAGUUAGGUCCGGUUCCAAAAUUUGAAAUCCCAUUACUCGCCCCGACCCGCCCCGUUGUGUUUUCAUACAGGUCCGGUCCGGUCCCUCCAAAUUUGGGCCCGGCCCGGCCCGUGCCCAGCCCUACAUGCAAGUCAUAUCUUUUGUUAAAAUGCAUGCAUGAAAUAAACAUGUUGGAUGACUAGUGAAGUUAG